This is a long non-coding RNA of Ornithorhynchus anatinus (platypus), 511 nucleotides long. RefSeq lists it as uncharacterized. The record is from RefSeq and is a predicted model, not a curated record. The transcript is spliced from 3 exons. NCBI's taxonomy places the organism in Eukaryota, Metazoa, Chordata, Mammalia, Monotremata, Ornithorhynchidae.
GAGCAUGGGGCUGGAAGUCAGGAGACCUGGGUUCAGUUCCCCAUCUACCUGGCAGAAAUGACUUUCUCUUCAAGUGAUUGCCACUUGAAUCUCCACUUUAGGGAAUUCUCCAGAGAAGUAAACCUUGGUUUCUCCUUCCUACUCCCCCGCCCCAGGCUCUUGUGGCUUUCUUGGUCUCUCUCCCCACACCCCAAACUUGCCCUCCUGUUUUCUCAGUCCCUCUGGGUCAUCUUCUAUUCAGCAUUUCUUGUAAUUUUGAUUUUUUUUCCCUACAGCUACAACACUAUCAAGUCCCGCGGGGGGCCUUGGCUGCUGCCGCUGUUUCCACCAACCCGGCCUCUUCCUCAGUUGGUAGUCCUGACCUUCAGGGAUUCAGUCAAGUACCAGGCUAGAUCACGAGGCAUGCUGUGAGAGUAAGAUGAGCUGCUGUAUAACCUUUGUGUGGACCUGAAAGCCCCAGGAUAAUUCAGUGACAUUUUGUGGUGUGAGAGAGCUGCACCUGUGAGUCUAG